Molecule: ribosomal RNA, 1470 nt
Filed under: Triticum aestivum (bread wheat)
Lineage: Eukaryota; Viridiplantae; Streptophyta; Magnoliopsida; Poales; Poaceae
Description: partial small subunit ribosomal RNA
Source: RNAcentral
AUGCACUUGAAAAAAAAUAAAAGUUGGGAACUUGUACACCUUCCUAAAGGAAAAGAACUUGUUAGUUGUAAAUGGAUAUUCACGGUGAAGCAAAAUUCAGAAGGGAAGAUCAAAAGGUACAAGGCAAGACUAGUUGCCAGAGGAUACAGCCAAACUUACGGGAUUGACUAUGACGAGACAUUCGCACCGGUGGCAAAGAUGAACACCGUGAGGAUUCUAAUCUUGUGUGCAACUAAUUUUGGGUGGCCUCUGUAUCAACUAGAUGUUAAGAAUGCUUUCUUGCAUGGUGACCUACAUGAAGAGGUGUAUAUGGAGAUUCCACCUGGUUUCUCUACUCCUAGAACUGCGGGAAAGGUGUGCAAAUUGAGGAAGUCCUUGUAUGGGCUCAAGCAGUCUCCACGAGCGUGGUUUGAUAGGUUUAGGCAUGUUGUAUGUGAUAUGGGGUACAAGCAAUGCAAUGGUGAUCACACUCUAUUCUAUCGACACUCGGACUGUAGAAUUACAAUUCUUGCAAUAUAUGUGGAUGAUAUUAUAAUCACAGGAGAUGAUGAUGUGGAGAUAUUGCGACUGAAGAAGAACCUGAGCAAGGAGUUUGAGGUGAAAGAUCUUGGCCAACUUAGAUACUUCCUCGGGAUUAAAAUUGCAAGGUCUCCAAAAGGCAUAGUUCUCUCUCAAAGAAAGUAUGUUCUGGACUUACUUAGUGAUACGGGUAUGCUUGGAUGUCGGGCUGCAUCAACUCCUAUUGAUCAAAACCACAAGCUUUGUGCACAGGCAGGAGAAUCAGUGGAUAAGGAGAACUACCAAAGGCUUGUUGGGCGACUCCUAUACUUAUGCCAUGCACGGCCUGAUAUUGCCUAUGCGGUGAGUGUGGUAAGCAGAUAUAUGCAUGAUCCUAGAAGUGAACAUCUAGAUGCAGUACACCAUAUAUUACGCUAUCUAAAAGGUAGUCCAGGGAAGGGGUUAUGGUUUAAGAAGAAUGGCCAUUUGAAUGUAGAUGGCUACAGUGAUGCCGAUUGGGCGAGUUGUCUUGAUGACAGAAGAUCUACUUCAGGGUAUUGUGUGUUUGUUGGAGGCAACCUUGUGUCAUGGAGAAGUAAGAAGCAAUCAAUUGUAUCUAGAUCGACAGCCGAAGCAGAGUACAGGGCCAUGUCACUAGGCCUUAGUGAAAUGUUGUGGGUAAGAAAUCUUCUAUCAGAACUAAAAGUGCUGAGAAAGGGCCCUUUGAAGGUGUGGUGCGAUAAUAAAUCGGCUAUUAGCAUAGCCAACAACCCAGUCCAACAUGAUAGAACAAAGCAUGUGGAGAUUGAUCGCUUCUUUAUUAAAGGGAAACUCGAUGAGGGUAUAAUAGAAUUAAAGCAUGUAAGCUCAGAGAAUCAAGUGGCAGAUAGCCUAACUAAGGGUUUAGGAGCAAAGGAGUGUAAUUUGGCAUGUAACAAGAUGGGAAUGAUAGAUAUCUAUCAUCCAUCUUGA